AGCAGGGGAGAGCUCCGGUAAGACAGGGAGGUUGAGGUCAAAGUCACGGUGGCUGACUUGGCUGUGAGUGCUACUGGAUCCGGAUGACGUCACUCCGCUCUUCUCGCCGCCAUCGUAGUGACAACGUUUGUGUCCGCCCAAGGCUUGGCCAGUGGGGAAGGACUUGUGACAGAUGGAACACUCGUGGGUCCUACCAGUGGCGUUCGGUACGCCGGUGGUCGUGGCGGUUGCGUUGGUGUUGGUGGUAGUGGAUGCGGAGUGUUCAUCGCCGCCCCCAGAUCCCUUACGGUGGCUGGCCUUGUGACCACCCAAGGCUUGGUAAGAAGAAAACGCCUUGUCGCACACGCUGCACUUGAAGAGAAGCUUCUGGUCAGAGGACGACGUCGUUGCAGCAGUAGAUAGAGCAGGAGACUUCUGUCGCUGUGAGGCGGCGGUGGUCGUGUUGCAGUUAGUUAAGACGGCGGUGGAGGUUGUGCCACGUGCAAGCAUGACGAGGCAGAGCGCGAGAUACUCUUCUUCAGUUGGAGGAUUGUGUGGACGCUUUGAGCGCUUGCGUUUGGUCCAUGGCUCAAGGCAGUGAAGAUUAGCUUCUUCGAAGUGAAACGGCGGCGUCGAAGUAGUUGGAGAGUUGAGAGCUUCCAGUGCCAUCUCCGUUACUCUUUUGAAUCUAAAACCAAGAGUGAGUGUGAAAGAGCGAGAGAGAGAGAGAGAGAGAGAGCUUAAUUUCAGAUUCAGAAUGUGUGAGGUUUGAGUUGUGAGUUGAGUAAGAGUGUGUGUGGGUUUGCUUAUAAAGGGGCGAAGACGGACGAGAAGGAAGUUGCGUGACAAGUGGUGCGAAUCGAAAGUAAGCGACGGUGUGCAACAAGUUUAAUUAAAUUAAAAAUAUAAAAGAAUAAAGCUUAUAUUUUGUAUUAUACUGUACCAAUAGGCAGAAGGGAGUGGAGCACGUUUGGCUAUUGGAUUGAGGCAUGAGCUUUCUUGGUGACCAAGGGCGGUUCAAGUCGGUCAAACCCCUGCCCAAUAUUUACUACAUGUGGGGCUAUUAAGCUUUUUAGUCAGUCAGUCUUUGAAGACUUCUUCCAAGUCAAAUCACAUACUUUUCGAACCAAACGCGGUGUUAUUGUUAUCUUGUAGCAGCCGGCAGCCAGCCAAGCUCGGG
RNAcentral lists this long non-coding RNA (1159 nucleotides) under Citrus sinensis (sweet orange). RNAcentral describes it as "long non-coding RNA (CSIN_LNC001400)". The record is from RNAcentral. Lineage: Eukaryota; Viridiplantae; Streptophyta; Magnoliopsida; Sapindales; Rutaceae.